RNAcentral lists this long non-coding RNA (2688 nucleotides) under Canis lupus familiaris (dog). Its description in RNAcentral is "lncRNA (ENSCAFG00000056465.1, ENSCAFG00805005875.1)". The record is from RNAcentral. Lineage: Eukaryota; Metazoa; Chordata; Mammalia; Carnivora; Canidae.
CAUUAUUAGAGAUUUUAUUAAUAAUCUUGUGAUUGGAAACGUUUUGUUAACUUCGAUGGUUAGGAUGCAGAGUAAUCACAGGAAAGGUAGAAGAGUGAAAGUAGACAAGGGAUGAGAAAAAUUCAGAAAUGGGUCUUGUCCAUUCUUUGCUGUUGAUUUGUAAAGGGAAGAGAGGCCCCACUGUCACCUAUACAGUCCACUAAUAAUCAUGAAGGAUAUAAUAUCAAAAAUAUAAUAAGAAGAACAGUAUGAGUGAUUUAUAUACAACUAUACAGAAUUCUAUACUAAACAAAGGAGUUUCAGUUUAUAAAUAUAUAAACAUAAUAUAAAAAUAUAUAAAUAUAGUCAUGAUGAAUACCUCAAUUCAUCUGAUCUCAGUAGAAUGGGCAGAUUAUUCUCUCAUUUGGUAGGAAGACACACCUGUAGGCCUUGCUCAGUAUGUGCAUAUACCAGAGGUAGCAUUACAAUGACAUGCAUGAAUGCGGCAAAUUUCAAGUGGGCUUCAGUCAGCAACAGAUGAGGCUGAUAUCUGCUACUCCUGCAUAUGUACACUGCUGGACUCACAGACAUCUUGUAGAUCUAGACAGUGACACUGAGGUUCAAAUGAUAACAUAAGAGGCAAAGGGUGAUAGCAGAACGAGCUGACACCUUAUAACCUUUAGCAAGGAAAAAGGUCGACCAAAAGAAAAAACUGGGGUAUGAACUAUUUUAUUUAUAAUUUAUUUAUUUUUGAGCUCUUCUUUCUACUCUUUCUCCUUCUCUGUUCUUUUUUGUGGGUUUUAAAAAGAAUCCUUUGAAGACAUAUUUUGAGUGUGAUUCGUUCCUGGUAAACACACAGGCACACAGAGAUAAGGGAGGUAGGUUGACAGCAGAGGGAUUGAUGGAAGGCCAACUGUGGGCUGGCAAAUACAAUUUUUAUUGGCCAAAAUAGUCUACGGGCUAAAUUACUUCUGAAGACUAUUUUUUUUUAAUUUUUAUUUAUUUAUGAUAGUCACACAGAGAGAGAGAGAGAGAGGCAGAGACACAGGCAGAGGGAGAAGCAGGCUCCAUGCACCAGGAGCCCGACGUGGGAUUCGAUCCUGGGUCUCCAGGAUCACGCCCUGGGCCAAAGGCAGGCGCUAAACCGCUGUGCCACCCAGGGAUCCCUGAAGACUAUUUAUAAAACUAUUUCCUCUUUCGUACCUUUAUUUUCUUUGUGAAGAUUUUACAAAUUUGUUACCUAAAUAAACAUCUGUCAGUAACCAAGACAAGACCAUCAAUCUCAUCUGCCAACAAUGAAGUUAAGAAAGGAACUGAAAUUUUUUUCCUUGAGGCAACAGUCAGGUGAAUACCCAGUCUGCAACACUAGCUCACGCAUUCUCAACAGCAUGACUAAAGGUAGGGGCUCAAUAUUUUGGCCUCAAGUUCCUGAUCUGCCAGACUUUAUUCAGAGCAUCACAUUUUGCUCAAAAUGUGAACUGAACUCAAGUAAUACAGAACCAGUUUUGCUUGACAAUUGACGAUUCUUUCAAGAAAACAGAUGGAAAUGUUAGCAACCAAAUGUUGACUUUUCAGAUUAUAGAAAGAAGUCCUAGCAAUGGGACUAGGUCUUUAAUGCUUUAAUCCUGUUCAGUUUAUUCACGGAGAAGAGAAUUUGCCGAAGAAGAGCUUAAAAUACCACAAACCUACCAGUCACAGACUUUCUCAGUAUUGGGUGGGCAUUCACUAAAAUUUACAAUAAUGUCAAAGCAAGAUUUUGCAGUAAUAUUUCUUUUUCGCUAGCCAAGUUUUAAUAUAAAAUAUUGAGGAAAACUCAGCAUUCAUCCAAUGUAUCUGCAGGCUUUCUGCUAGUUAACAUGUUAAUCAAGAAAAGGAUUGUGCUGUCCAACUCUGAGAUAGGUUAUUUGGAAAAGAAAAAAUAUUUGUCUAUGGAUUUGUGGAGAAAUGUUUCCAAGAAGAAAUUAUAAAUGGACCUUAUUUUAGUUCUGUCCUGUUAUGAAUGACAGGUUUAACAUUCUUAGAAACCUUAAAAAUAUAAUGACUACAUCUUUAAAAGCCUCUAGGGAUCCUUGUACAUUAACGUAUCAGUCAGUAAAUUAUUUAUCUAUAAAUUAAUCUUUCUAAACAGAUUUCUACCCCCCCUUUAAUUUGAAAGCUAAACUUCUGAGUCUCCACUUCAGCAACUUUAUAUCUGAAGAGCCUACAUCUGUAAAAACAUUUCUAAUGAAAACAUGAAGACAACCCCCCAGAGAAGCAAAUAAAAUGAGAUUUAAGUAUAUAGCAGCCUUUCUACAGUUACAUUCCUAACAAGAGUGGAUUCGAACUUGAUGCCAAAUUGAGGUUAUGUAAUACAAUCAGUGAAUACUCUGGUUCUUUGAGUUUUAGUGAAAAAUUUAGGUGCUUACAUGAUUCUGUCUGAAUUUCCCAUUUAUACCAAGUUAGAGGCAUUACAUCUUGGUUUCCUGAGUCACAGAAGCUGGGGGAAGAGGAGAGGAAGGAAGAAGGAAGGGUGAGAAAUGCUCUAGAGCAGGCAGCAGAAAAGGGAAUGUCGCAAAGUCUGGGUUCUUAAGCCCCAGGUGCCAUCCAGGUGUUACAGGUGCCAAAAAAACAAGUGUCAAAGAUGGGUUUAGAUUUUCACAUACCAUAUGGAAAAUUGUCCAACCAGACUUUACUCAGUUCUCCCGCACAAAUCACUUCAUCACUUGGUAA